GACGAACGCUGGUGGCGUGCCUAAUACAUGCACGCUGAGCGCUGAAGGUUGGUACUUGUCCCAACUGGCUGAGCAGCGAACGGGCGAGUUACGCGAGGGGCAUCUGCCUUUGAGCGGGGGACAACCAUCGGAAACGAAUGCUAAUACCGCAUAAAAACUUUACACACAAGUUUUAAGUUUGAAAGAUGCAAUUGCAUCACUCAAAGAUGAUCCCGCGUUGUAUUAGCUAGUUGGUGAGGUAAAGGCUCACCAAGGCGAUGAUACAUAGCCGACCUGAGAGGGUGAUCGGCCACAUUGGGACUGAGACACGGCCCAAACUCCUACGGGAGGCAGCAGUAGGGAAUCUUCGGCAAUGGACGAAAGUCUGACCGAGCAACGCCGCGUGAGUGAAGAAGGUUUUCGGAUCGUAAAACUCUGUUGGUAGAGAAGAACGUUGGUGAGAGUGGAAAGCUCAUCAAGUGACGGUAACUACCCAGAAAGGGACGGCUAACUACGUG
Molecule: ribosomal RNA, 497 nt
Filed under: uncultured bacterium
Lineage: Bacteria
Description: partial 16S ribosomal RNA
Rfam family: Bacterial small subunit ribosomal RNA
Source: RNAcentral